This 682-nucleotide long non-coding RNA is filed under the name Setaria viridis. RNAcentral describes it as "long non-coding RNA (SVIR_LNC000511)". The record is from RNAcentral. Lineage: Eukaryota; Viridiplantae; Streptophyta; Magnoliopsida; Poales; Poaceae.
CUUCGAGUAAUAGUCUCUCAUAGUCUCUCAUCCACGUUUUGAUCUCCUAUUUCUCCGUGCACUCCAACAAAAACCUAAUAUGUUCCUCUUACAUUUCACUCAUCUUUUUUAUUUAAUAUCUUUGUGGACUUUUUGCUUAUGAGCUGAGGUUGGUUUGGGCUCUAGAUGCUAUUGGACUAUAAGUGUAACGCCCGUAAAAUUCACCAAUCGAAAUCACACGCUAAAAAUCGUUUUCAAAAACUUUUUAUCGCUUGAGCUCCCAAAUUUCCCUUCCCGGCGAAUUCGCCGUUCCGACACCGAAGCCGACCGCCGUCCACCUAUUUUCCCCUUUUUCCUCCCCGCAGGUUACGCCGUGUGCCGGACAGAAGAUCGUCGUGCGUGCCUGCGACCAAUCCUGCAAUCACCGUCGUGUCUCUCUUUUCUUCUUCUCAUUUUACUUCCCCCUUUUCCCUUCCUUUUUCUCCCUUUUUCUUCUCUUCCUUAUUUCCCUUCUUUUCUUUUCUUUUCUCCCUUCCUUUUUCUUUUUCUUUUUCCCUUCCUCCCUUUUUUUCUAUCUCCUGCCGCACAUGACUCAUUUUCCUAGCCGCACGCAUCUCACCAGCACCUGCCGCUCAGCAUGCUUCCCCUGGGCCCGUGCUUGUCCCUCCCUAGCGCAGCACCGCGCCUAGCCCCUAGCGAUGGC